CCUACGGGUGGCAGCAGUGAGGAAUAUUGGUCAAUGGUCGCGAGCCUGAACCAGCCAAGUAGCGUGCAGGAUGACUGCCCUACGGGUUGUAAACUUCUUUUAUACAGGGAUAAAGUGCGGCACGUGUGCCUUUUUGUAUGUACUUUAUGAAUAAGGACCGGCUAAUUCCGUGCCAGCAGCCGCGGUAAUACGGAGGAUCCGAGCGUUAUCCGGAUUUAUUGGGUUUAAAGGGAGCGUAGAUGGGAUGUUAAGUCAGUUGUGAAAGUCUGCGGCUCAACCGUAAAAUUGCAGUUGAUACUGGCAGCCUUGAGUACAGUGAAGGUAUGCGGAAUUCGUGGUGUAGCGGUGAAAUGCUUAGAUAUCACGAAGAACUCCGAUUGCGAAGGCAGCUUACUAAACUGCUACUGACACUGAUGCUCGAAAGUGUGGGUAUCAAACAGGAUUAGAUACCCUGGUAGUC
RNAcentral lists this ribosomal RNA (460 nucleotides) under uncultured bacterium. RNAcentral describes it as "partial 16S ribosomal RNA". It matches the Rfam family "Bacterial small subunit ribosomal RNA", at positions 338 to 795 of the family's 1533-position model. The record is from RNAcentral.